Astatotilapia calliptera (eastern happy) is the source of this 2277-nucleotide long non-coding RNA. NCBI's taxonomy places the organism in Eukaryota, Metazoa, Chordata, Actinopteri, Cichliformes, Cichlidae. The record is from Ensembl.
AUGUAAGCCUAAAUCUAACCCAUUCUUAAAGCAUGUGGUUGUUAAUAGAUAAAAGGGACUGCAGGGGUUGCUGCUGAUAAAAAGUGGUUGAUCGUUUUAGGUUAAAUCAUGUUAAACAGUGACUGUUUCAUCCAUCAGCUGUAGAAAGCUGCUUCACGGGCCUGGAAUCCAACCACCGGUUUAACACAACAGAGGAGUGAGUUAUGAAAAAUCUGUAAUGUGACAGAAGCAGUUAAACAAACUGAUGUGAGACUAUGCUAUCGCAGGUGUCAUCCAAUCCAGCACUCCAUUGUCAGUAACCGUGUAUCCCGGGAUGUGUAAUUGCACCCACAACACUUGAAUCCUGCUGUGCCAUUCACUGCAAAAUUAGCUUUAAUAAGAGCCUCAGCUAGAUUGCUUCAGUAGUAAAUAUUAAAACACCUGCGGUGUGAAAACCAAGCAGAUUUGUGAAUACCUGAGGUCUCACGGAUGCUUGUUGUUUGUCUGUGAAAUAAAUCCCAUUGCCAGAGUGUAUUAGCUGUUUUUACUGAGGCCUCUUCCAAGUCUGCCAUUGGGCUGAGAAAUUAGAUAUUGAUUUUUUUUUUUUUUUUUUUUGAGGACCAUGCAGAAAGUGAGAGAGCACAUCAAAACAGGCAUUUCAAAAAAAAUGUUUAUGGGGUGUUGGAGCCUGAUACCCACGUUGUCUUAAAAGUGUAUCGACUUCUCCCUCAUUGCCGUGGAUGCAUUCGUGUUGGAAACGUUCAUGAUCAAUUCCUUUCUGUCUGGUAAUCAAAUUUUUAGCUUGCUUCUUUUUUUCAUGACAGAGAAGCUUUCUUUCAAACUGACUUCAGGCACCUUUGAAAUGUUCCCCAUUAUUUACUAUUUGUUCCAAUAGCAUGUCUACAAAUCCAAAAAGACAUAAGAACUGCUUUUUGAGGGAGGAUAUGAAGCACUAUUGUUGGACCUAGAGCUAAAUAUAAGCCAGAAAAAUUCUCUAGAGGGAAUGAGCCAUAGCUACAGAUCAACUGGAAUCUUCUCUACUGUCUUUGAGCUAUCCUCCAAUUAGAUCAGUGUAUCAUGUCCUGGCAUGGCCCAUCACUCUGUGCUGGCAGCUCCGUGACUCUUAGAGACCUUGUGAAAUUUAUCAGUACUGUCAGUCCCAGCCAGCUACAAGGUUUCCCUUCAGUCUUUUCACCAAGUCUGAGAUGGUUUCUGUCCCCAGUGGCCACAAGGGAAAGAGAAUUCAUCAGCAAUUCCUUCUGCGGGUUUCUGAUACCUAACAGAGGAACAUGUGGCUCGGAUAAAUCUCUCAGAACCUCCAACAAGUCACUCAGAGGACUGAAACCCCAGGGGUGGGUUUGUGAUAAUGAUGUCUGCCUUACUCUUCCUGUGUCGAGGAAGAGGAUCAAAUUUUAUUCAAAUUGUUCGUAAGUUAUAUAAAAUGAAGAGCUGCUUGGUGAAUAUUAAAAAAAAAUUCAGUUGCAAUGUCCUUCAGUGGAGCAGCAGGUAAAUGACGAUAAAAUCCAGUGUUGGGGAAAAAUGUCUCUUUUUUUUUUUUUUUUACCAACAUUGGACCUACAAAACUGAAAAUAUCAAUCAGAAAAAUAUCUAAUAGAAAGAUAUCUGUCACUGUGCAGCGUAUUUCUUUGUGAACAGUGGAAAAAGUUGAUCUUGACAUUGUAAGCCUUGCUGCAAAACUCACACACUGCACUGUUUUAAAUAGUUUUAUAUAAUAUGUUAAAGUUGAGCUCCAUCUCCCGACCUAAGCACACUGAGAUUUAAAUCAGCUGAUAUUUUCAGGUGACUGAAAUACCAGAAAAUACUAGUAAGUCAUAGCAACUGACCAAGAGACAGGGGUGUAAUUUCGAGGAGGGUUAGGGGGGUUAUGACCCCCCCCCCCCCCCCUUCAAUAAUGAGAUCCAACCAAUAUAACUCCCCAAUAAAAUUAUGAAUUAUCUUGCAUAAAUAGGCUGUUGAUUUUCUUUACUCAUUUCAGGUAUUACCAGCAAAAUAGUUGCAUGUUUAUGUUUAAUCAUCUGGGAAUUUACCCAGAUUUAUUUAUUUAUUUAGACAGAGACCUUGAUCCCCCAAAUGUUCAGCACAAAAUUACGCAGAUGCCAACAGUCAGAGAGGAGUGUCCGGAAUGCAUGGAACUGAUAGGAAGGCAACAGUAAUUAAAGAAACAAAAAAACACUCUUUGCAACUGAGGAAAAAAGCAUCAAAACAUUGAAGCAGAUGGCCUGCACUAGCAGAAGACCACACUGGGUACCACUACUGGUACUGAGGCUUCAGUUUGCA